GUUUCUGACCUAUCAGCUUUCGACGGUAUGGUAUUGGCUUACCGUGGCAGUGACGGUUAACGGGGGAUUAGGGUUCGAUUCCGGAGAGGGAGCCUGAGAAACGGCUACCACAUCUAAGGAAGGCAGCAGGCGCGCAAAUUACCCAAUUCUAACAGCAUAAGAGAGGUAGUGACAAGAAAUAACAAUACAAGGUAAUUAAAUUGCUUUGUAAUUGGAAUGAUAGAAAUUUAAACACUUUUUAAAGUAUCAAUUGGAGGGCAAGUCUGGUGCCAGCAGCCGCGGUAAUUCCAGCUCCAAUAGCGUAUAUUAAAAUUGUUGCAGUUAAAAAGCUCGUAGUUGAAUUUCUGUUAAAAAUAACCGGUCUGCUUUUAUUAAAAGUGGUAUCUUGGUGUGUUUUUAGCAAUAAUGUCCUUUGAAAUGUUUUUUACUUUAUUGUAAUAAGUCAUUAUUUUGAGGAUUUUUACUUUGAGAAAAUUAGAGUGUUUCUAGCAGGCUUACGCUUUUGAAUACUGCAGCAUGGAAUAAUAAGAUAGGAUUUUAGUUCUACAUUAUUGGUUUUAAGAACUAAAUUAAUGAUUGAUAGGGAUAGUUGGGGGCAUUUGUAUUUAACUGUCAGAGGUGAAAUUCUU
This 629-nucleotide ribosomal RNA is filed under the name Hepatozoon sp. Its description in RNAcentral is "bacterial SSU rRNA". It matches the Rfam family "Eukaryotic small subunit ribosomal RNA", at positions 303 to 921 of the family's 1831-position model. The record is from RNAcentral. Lineage: Eukaryota; Apicomplexa; Hepatozoidae.